GCGGAAAAAAUGGAAAAAGAAAAUUUUUUUUUUUUGAUUGUAAACUCUUUUGGUUUUGAUAUAAGACGGUUGGGAAUUGGUCCAGUGAUCGUUCCUUUAGUCCUAUAAGCUUGAGGCAGGAUUAGGUGGACCGUAGAUUCUAGCGUGGGACCCUAGGUAGAUUGACCGCACUUAAAUUAAAUUUACAUGAUAAGGGCUUGAGAUUGGAUUCGGGUUUAAGGGGACAAAUAUAUUCACAAUCGCGACUAACGCAAGUUUUGGUUUUAAUAAAGUAUACUAUGUUUUUGACCCGAGUGAUUAUUUAUCUCUGAUUCCAUUGCAUGAGUCUUUUUCAGGGACAAAAAAAUGUUAAGUGUGGGGAUAUUUGAUGUGGGGUAAAAUACACAAAUUUGUCCCGUGUAAAUUGUCUUGGUGUAAAUGGAGCGAAAACGAGUAAUAUGGAAAUGAUCAGCCAGUUGGGAAGAGUGGGGUGCCAAUGACCGAAGGAAAUUCGCUGCUAUUUUUUAUGAUUGGGUCGAGACCACUUAUCUCUAUAUUAUAAAAUAAAACAAAAGAAAAAAAAGCUCCACACAAUAUAUUGUUGUUUAUGGACUGCAUUCCAUGAUAUUUAAUUAAAUCGAAUAUUGGGCCAACAAAUUGUGAAGUUGUGAAUAUUAUCGUGAGCAUGGAAUUAUUAAAUCUCAUGGGCUCGUGGCUUUUAGCCAUUUAGUGGGCACGGUUUUUUUUAUGGGCUGGACGGUACAUAUCGACGGAGAGACCCCACUAUUACAAGGGGGGCGGCUGUUAAUAGGCGAUCAUCAGAGGCACGAGCAGAAACAUUCAGGGACGAAAUUUCAAAUACUUUUUGGCAAGGUUCACGGCUAGAGAACUAUUGGGAUCGAAAGAGGGGAGCUUGGAAGUCAAAGAAUUUACGGGUUCUUUUAUUUUCUAGUUUCUUUUAUUCUAUGUCAAUGAAUUCUUGUUUGGGACUUUGUUUGAUUGUUUUUAAGACCAUGAUCGGCUAAACAUUUAAGCCACCUAGACUUAGUUGAAUGGAUUGAAUAAAGUUUUUAC
This 1053-nucleotide long non-coding RNA is filed under the name Helianthus annuus (common sunflower). Its description in RNAcentral is "hypothetical non coding rna". The record is from RNAcentral. Lineage: Eukaryota; Viridiplantae; Streptophyta; Magnoliopsida; Asterales; Asteraceae.